This 492-nucleotide ribosomal RNA is filed under the name uncultured bacterium. RNAcentral's name for it is "partial 16S ribosomal RNA". It matches the Rfam family "Bacterial small subunit ribosomal RNA", at positions 29 to 507 of the family's 1533-position model. The record is from RNAcentral.
AGUGAACGCUGGCGGUAGGCCUAACACAUGCAAGUCGAACGGCAGCACAGUAAGAGCUUGCUCUUACGGGUGGCGAGUGGCGGACGGGUGAGGAAUACAUCGGAAUCUACUUUUUCGUGGGGGAUAACGUAGGGAAACUUACGCUAAUACCGCAUACGACCUACGGGUGAAAGCAGGGGAUCUUCGGACCUUGCGCGAUUGAAUGAGCCGAUGUCGGAUUAGCUAGUUGGCGGGGUAAAGGCCCACCAAGGCGACGAUCCGUAGCUGGUCUGAGAGGAUGAUCAGCCACACUGGAACUGAGACACGGUCCAGACUCCUACGGGAGGCAGCAGUGGGGAAUAUUGUACAAUGGGCGAAAGCCUGAUCCAGCCAUACCGCGUGGGUGAAGAAGGCCUUCGGGUUGUAAAGCCCUUUUGUUGGGAAAGAAAAGCAGCAGGUUAAUACCCCGCUGUUCUGACGGUACCCAAAGAAUAAGCACCGACUAACUUCGUG